UGGUUCUGGCAUCGAUGAAGAACGCAGCGAAAUGCGAUAAAUAAUGUGAAUUGCAGAAUUCAGUGAAUCAUCGAGUCUUUGAACGCACAUUGCGCCCGCCAGCAUUCUGGCGGGCAUGCCUGUUCGAGCGUCAUUUACAACCCCCAAGCCGCCCAUGCUUGGUGUUGGAGACCUACGGCUGUCGUAGUCUCCGAAGUUCAGUGGCGGGCUCGCCGCGACCCCGAGCGUAGUAAAACAUAUCCUCGCUCAGGGCUGCUCGCGGCGGACCCUUGCCGUUAAACACCCCCAAAACCGUGGCAUCGUCACGGAAUGUUGACCUCGGAUCAGGUAGGAAUACCCGCUGA
RNAcentral lists this unclassified non-coding RNA (344 nucleotides) under uncultured fungus. RNAcentral's name for it is "partial contains 5.8S ribosomal RNA and internal transcribed spacer 2". The stretch from base 1 to 133 matches the Rfam family "5.8S ribosomal RNA", at positions 22 to 154 of the family's 154-position model. Lineage: Eukaryota; Fungi. The record is from RNAcentral.